CGCAANGCUUGGCGGCGAUGCCCUNAUCGAUGNGAGUUCUCNANCAACCUCUGGGUNNUNAUUGGUGCUUGCUUNCNUGUGUUUACAUUUGAGUGAGUGGCGAACUGGUGAGUAACACGUGGGAAACCUGCCCAGAAGCGGGGGAUAACACCUGGAAACAGAUGCUAAUACCGCAUAACAACUUGGCCCGCAUGGUCCGAGCUUGAAAGAUGGCUUCGGCUAUCACUUUUGGAUGGUCCCGCGGCGUAUUAGCUAGAUGGUGGGGUAACGGCUCACCAUGGCAAUGAUACGUAGCCGACCUGAGAGGGUAAUCGGCCACAUUGGGACUGAGACACGGCCCAAACUCCUACGGGAGGCAGCAGUAGGGAAUCUUCCACAAUGGACGAAAGUCUGAUGGAGCAACGCCGCGUGAGUGAAGAAGGGUUUCGGCUCGUAAAACUCUGUUGUUAAAGAAGAACAUAUCUGAGAGUAACUGUUCAGGUAUUGACGGUAUUUAACCAGAAAGCCACGGCUAACUACGUNNCCAGCAGCCA
RNAcentral lists this ribosomal RNA (533 nucleotides) under Lactiplantibacillus plantarum. RNAcentral's name for it is "Lactobacillus plantarum partial 16S ribosomal RNA". It matches the Rfam family "Bacterial small subunit ribosomal RNA", at positions 37 to 517 of the family's 1533-position model. The record is from RNAcentral. Lineage: Bacteria; Bacillati; Bacillota; Bacilli; Lactobacillales; Lactobacillaceae.